CCGGUCCGUGUCCGUGUCCCUGUCCAUGUCCAUGUCCCGUCCCAGCGCCUCCCCGCGGGCAGUGCCCGGGCGCGGGCACGGCCUUUGCAAAGCCCCCGGGAGCCGUUCUGUUGGGCUGUUGCUGCCUGCUCCGUCGGGGUCGGGUCUCCGCCCGCUUGCUCGGGGUCGCCCCUCACGUCCGGGCGGCGGCCUCAGCACGGGGCGUGGGUUGGCGGCUGCGGCCUGGCUUUAGUCGGACGAGGCGAAGAAAAAUCUCUUGAGACCCUGUCUGACAAUCCCGUGCCCCCCUUCCUUUCCCACUGCCUUCCUGAAUUCCGCUCUGCAGGACUCCUCCGGGCAUCGGGUGUGCAUGUGGCCGGCAGAUGGAAUUUCACCUGCUCACGAGCUGCUCUGCAGCGAGGGCUGACAGCUCUGUGCCCCGCCAAAGGAGAGGCUCCGGGGGCCGGGACAGGGCUCCCAGAGCCCCGGCCGUGAGGGGAAGCUCGGGGGAGCCGCAGAGCCGGAGCUCCGCCGGUGGAGCCGGUGCCUGCUGCAGCCUCUGCAAGGCAGACGAGAAAGGGACCCCAAAGCUACAUUCAGACAAAAAGAGGAAAAAAAAAAAAGUCCCAAUCUUCGUAUACUAGGGAAGGGGUUAGGGCAGAAAAAGGUCAUUAAAAGAAUGCCACCCUUGUAGUUAUUUCGGUGCUGGGUGGUUUCAAGCUCUAUCCAGCCCCGUUUUACAGAGACAAGGACAGAAACUACCCUAGCCCCCUCAAAAAUUGCAUUUUCUUCUGAAUACCAGCUAAGGCCUAUUAAAAAUAUAUAAGAUUUUUUUUGCUACUGGCUUUCCCUGACUCUUCUAGAUAAUUCCUGCUCCAGCCUACUUUCUGUUUUUCCUUAAGCUGUGGCUUUUAUUUGUAUUUAGUCUUUCAUGAAGGGCUGUUUGAGUUCUACAAUCACUUUAGACACUUCAAAAGUCAGGGGCUCCCUAUUCAUUUUUGCCAACAGCCCAGCUCCCUGCUCCUGUGUCUGCGCUGCCUGUGGCCUGUGCCAGCGUGAACAUUUGUGAAAUCAGGCGAUAAAUGGGAUUGAACUGAGAGGACCAGAGAACAACCUGCUUUCCUUCCGUUUUGCUGAUCCAGUUCACCAGCAUAAUAAAUGUGUCAGCGUGGCACUGAGGACAGCACAGACAGCUGAGAACAGACACAGCUUAAAUGGUCUUGUUCUGCUGCAAGUGCACACCCAGGCAUUGAGUUGCUUUGCCAUUUAGUGCCUGUUCAGUGUCUCCUGACACCCCUGACACCUCCAAAACUGGAACUCUGUGUCUCAGUGGGUAAUUCUAUGAGUCAUCUUGUCAUAAACCUGGGCUGGACCACGGUGUUUUGUCUCCAGCAAGGGCUGGGUUUGUGGCAUUAUGGUAUAAUGUGACAGCAUUUUUUGGUUUCUCUUCACCAAAUCCUUCUCAAAUCCAUUGUUUCCAGUGACAUGUUUGAGGUGUCAUUUUUAUUUGCAUGUUUGUGGUAUUUUAACUCAUUAUUUUUUCAACAGUGAAAGCCCAAUAAACUUCAUAUAUGUAA
This is a long non-coding RNA of Passer domesticus (house sparrow), 1556 nucleotides long. RefSeq lists it as uncharacterized. Lineage: Eukaryota; Metazoa; Chordata; Aves; Passeriformes; Passeridae. The record is from RefSeq and is a predicted model, not a curated record. The transcript has 2 exons.